RNAcentral lists this long non-coding RNA (558 nucleotides) under Helianthus annuus (common sunflower). RNAcentral describes it as "hypothetical non coding rna". The record is from RNAcentral. Lineage: Eukaryota; Viridiplantae; Streptophyta; Magnoliopsida; Asterales; Asteraceae.
UAACCCCAACUUUCACCAUUUGGCCGCUCCCAGUUUAUGAAUUGUACCACGCCACUCACAACUUUCAACUUAUUUUCCUCUGGCACUCCCUAACUAACUCGGUUAGUUUUUUUGUUGAUGCGGCACUUGUGUAGUGACGUGGCAUCAGGCGUGGGCAUUUUAAUGAUUUGUCAUCUGACGUGGCACUUAUCUAGUGACAUGGCCUUUUUUUAUGAUGUGGCAUUUGUUUAGUGACGUGGCAUCUGACGUCAGCUAACUGGGUUAGAGUUUAGUUAGUUUAGGAGUGCCAAAGAAUAAUAAGUUGAAAGUUGGGAGUGGCAUGGUAUAAUUUCCACCAUUUGGCAGAUAACACUCCCAACUUUCAGCUUAUUUUUCCUCUGGCACUCCCCAACUGACUAACCCUAACCCAAUUAGUUUCUUAUUGAUGUGGCACUUGUGUAGUGACAUGGCAUCUGACGUGGCCUUUUUUUAAUAUUUGUUGUGUACAUUUAACACAAACCAACCGGUUAGUUACCUGGGCUGCCUCGAUUUCUAGUUCUUGAAUCUUGAUAUCAGACG